Molecule: ribosomal RNA, 800 nt
Filed under: Bacillus aerius
Lineage: Bacteria; Bacillati; Bacillota; Bacilli; Caryophanales; Bacillaceae
Description: bacterial SSU rRNA
Rfam family: Bacterial small subunit ribosomal RNA
Source: RNAcentral
UAUAAUGCAGUCGAGCGGACAGAUGGGAGCUUGCUCCCUGAUGUUAGCGGCGGACGGGUGAGUAACACGUGGGUAACCUGCCUGUAAGACUGGGAUAACUCCGGGAAACCGGGGCUAAUACCGGAUGGUUGUUUGAACCGCAUGGUUCAGACAUAAAAGGUGGCUUCGGCUACCACUUACAGAUGGACCCGCGGCGCAUUAGCUAGUUGGUGAGGUAACGGCUCACCAAGGCAACGAUGCGUAGCCGACCUGAGAGGGUGAUCGGCCACACUGGGACUGAGACACGGCCCAGACUCCUACGGGAGGCAGCAGUAGGGAAUCUUCCGCAAUGGACGAAAGUCUGACGGAGCAACGCCGCGUGAGUGAUGAAGGUUUUCGGAUCGUAAAGCUCUGUUGUUAGGGAAGAACAAGUGCCGUUCAAAUAGGGCGGCACCUUGACGGUACCUAACCAGAAAGCCACGGCUAACUACGUGCCAGCAGCCGCGGUAAUACGUAGGUGGCAAGCGUUGUCCGGAAUUAUUGGGCGUAAAGGGCUCGCAGGCGGUUUCUUAAGUCUGAUGUGAAAGCCCCCGGCUCAACCGGGGAGGGUCAUUGGAAACUGGGGAACUUGAGUGCAGAAGAGGAGAGUGGAAUUCCACGUGUAGCGGUGAAAUGCGUAGAGAUGUGGAGGAACACCAGUGGCGAAGGCGACUCUCUGGUCUGUAACUGACGCUGAGGAGCGAAAGCGUGGGGAGCGAACAGGAUUAGAUACCCUGGUAGUCCACGCCGUAAACGAUGAGUGCUAAGUGUUAGGGGGUUUC